Molecule: long non-coding RNA, 1447 nt
Filed under: Triticum aestivum (bread wheat)
Lineage: Eukaryota; Viridiplantae; Streptophyta; Magnoliopsida; Poales; Poaceae
Description: long non-coding RNA (TAES_LNC023384)
Source: RNAcentral
GCUCCAAUCAUCAUCUGAAGAUACCUUGGGCUGCAGAACAAGGCAAAAGUGGAUGCAACUUCAACACUAGCUUGUACAACAAUUUAUUUUCUCUAGAGAUGAGCUUGCAGCUGAACAUGUAGACAAGAAUACCUGAAAAAAUAGGAACAUCAACUAUUUUCAGGUGCAUAUCCAAGACAAAAGGUCAACAAAAUUAUCUAGUUGGAUAAAGUUUAAUUUAUGCUAAAGGCCUUGUGAACGAUACUACUUAAGAUUUGCAUGCUAGAUCAUGGUUCUUACUCCUAAAAUCAUUGGCAAGUGAUGACAAAAAAAUAAAAAUGUUCUUACUUGCUACCAUUAAAAAAGGAUUUGUGUACAAGAUUUUGAUCUUAAUGCUUGUUCUUCAUUUCUGCAAGCAUAUGGUACAUAAAAAUUCAAAACAAGAGGAGUAUAGCUAACCAGAAACUAUUAUAGAUCAAUUCAAGAAUCAUAUUCUUUUCUUAGAGAUAAGGGGCACACCCCUUGGUUUCAUUUUAUUAGAAUGCAAGCACAAGUGCAUAAGCAGUGUGAUUUCUCGGAUGCCAGCACAGGUGCAACCAUCAGACUCCAAAAACAAUUGAAAAAAUUGUAGUGACAGCCACAGGUCGGCCACAGUACAAUCAGAAUCAUCAGCCAAAUAAAUGUCACCGAACAGGAGCGUUUGAAGAUAGAGCAUCAGCAAAGAUGGAAAAUCAGAACAUGAGUCCUCCGCAAAGAUAGGACAUCGUUACCACUGAUGCGGGGCAUCGAACUUUCUUGCAGUUAAGAAUCAUCGAAUCUAAAUAAAAGUGUAUAUCUAUAAUUAAAGUUCACACGCACUACAAUUGCAUGUAUUAGGAUUCAUUGAAUUGGUAAGAUUACUCCAGGCAUGUACGCUAGAUCAGUAUUGUUGAUUUUGAAGUAUUGUUAGAGUGUGGAUUUGCAACAAGAAAACAAAUCAUGAACAAGAUAAUGACUAGUAAUGCUUUCAGAAAUUUCAGUUGGGCAUCAAAAGUGGAGUUUCAUUUUGAGACCAACAAAGUGAAUUAGCAGAAAAACACAACAAAUAUAAUCUACUCCAGGCGGCCACCUAAAAUUGUUUUACAAGGUCCUUCUUCUAAAAUGUACCGGCGGCCACCUAAUGAUAACAUCCUGUCCAUCAACUUUUCAUCCAUUGGCUCAGAAUCGCUCGGAGCAUUCGUAGCACGAGGUCAACCGUAGCACUGGAUACAUUCUCGUACUGAACAUGCUAUAGUAUACUGACGACCAGCAAAGAAAAAAGACUCAUUCAGGUGCUUCAAAAUUAUCAACUGAAGAAGGAAAACAAUCACAAAAAUGCACUCUGUUGCUUACAUGUGCAGGGCUACGAGGAGGUUGAGGCAUCGCAGGGGACAGAUCGGCAAGAUCGUGGAAAAUGAAAUACUUGCAGAAAUUAAUACUUGAAAAAUGG